This 251-nucleotide ribosomal RNA is filed under the name uncultured prokaryote. RNAcentral describes it as "partial 16S ribosomal RNA". It matches the Rfam family "Bacterial small subunit ribosomal RNA", at positions 525 to 775 of the family's 1533-position model. The record is from RNAcentral.
ACAGAGGCGGCAAGCGUUGUUCGGAAUUAUUGGGCGUAAAGAGCAUGUAGGCGGCUAUGUAAGUCGGUUGUGAAAGCCUUCCGCUUAACGGAGGAAUGGCGGUCGAAACUGCAUGGCUUGAGUGCGGGAGGGGAGAGUGGAACUUCUGGUGGAGCGGUGAAAUGCGUAGAUAUCAGAAGGAACGUCGGCGGCGAAAGCGACUAUCUAGACCGUAACUGACGCUCAUGCACGAAAGCGUGGGGAGCAAACAG